GACGAACGCUGGCGGCAUGCCUAACACAUGCAAGUCGAACGAGACCUUCGGGUCUUUGGGCGCACGGGUGCUUAACGCGUGGGGACCUGCCCUUAGGUUCCGAAUAACUCCCCGAAAGGGGUGCUAAUGCCGGAUAGGGUCUUCGGACCAAAGAUUUAUCGCCGUUGGGUGGGCCCUCGUUAGAUUAGGUGGUUGGUAGGGUAAAAGCAUACCAAGGCGAGGAUCCAUAGCUGGUCUGAGAGGAUGAUCAGACACACUGGGACUGAGACACGGCCCAGAAUCCUACGGGAGGGAGCAGUGGGGAAUAUAGGAAAAUGGGCGAAAGCCUGAUACAGCAAUGCGGGGUGAGUGAUGAAGGGCUUAGGGUUGUAAAGCUCUUUUAACCGGGAUGAUAAUGACAGUACCGGGAGAAUAAGCUCCGGCUAACUACGUG
This 433-nucleotide ribosomal RNA is filed under the name uncultured bacterium. RNAcentral describes it as "partial 16S ribosomal RNA". It matches the Rfam family "Bacterial small subunit ribosomal RNA", at positions 28 to 507 of the family's 1533-position model. The record is from RNAcentral.